Molecule: unclassified non-coding RNA, 332 nt
Filed under: Hevea brasiliensis (rubber tree)
Lineage: Eukaryota; Viridiplantae; Streptophyta; Magnoliopsida; Malpighiales; Euphorbiaceae
Source: RNAcentral
GCUUUGAAAACAUAGUGUUCAUUUAUUUUCACUGCUAUGCCCUUAACAGAAUAUGACAUAUACUAGCGUGAUGCAAAAAUAUGAUAUAUACUAGUUUGAUGCAAAAAACUUUCCUUUUUUAAUCAAGUAGAUGGUAUUUAUUUCUAUACAAGCAAUGCAAUCUCAAGACAAGUGAAAUAAAUAAAUAGUCAUCAAAUUUUGUGAACAACCUAAGAUUGAGAGCCAACAAUUCCAGAUCAGCCAGCAAAAUUGUAAAGGCAAUGAAACAUUAAUUAGAGAUGCAAGAACAGAUAUAAGUUAAAAAGUUUAAUUAGUAAAACCUUUUUCUUCAU